Molecule: long non-coding RNA, 5450 nt
Organism: Oncorhynchus keta (chum salmon)
Lineage: Eukaryota; Metazoa; Chordata; Actinopteri; Salmoniformes; Salmonidae
Exons: 3
Source: RefSeq, a predicted model, not a curated record
GAGAGAGACAUUGAGAGAGAGAGAGAGAGAGAGAGAGAGACAUUGAGAGAGAGAGCGAGAGAUUCAGAGAGGAACAUUCAGAGAUUGAGGGACAUUCAGAGAUAGAGGGACAUUAAGAGAUUGAGAGAAGAAAAGGGACAUUCAGAGAUUGAGCUAGCUGGGUGAAGCACUUAAUUGAAAGCUUAGUUCCUUAAUUGUAUAUGAAAGACAGUAUGCAACCCAAAUGUCACCAUACUCCCUACAUCAGGGAUAUUCAACUCCUACCCUACGAGGUCCGGAGCCUGAUAGUUUUUUGUUCUAUCCGAUAACGAAUUGCACACCUGGUGUCCCAGGACUAAAUGGUUCCCUGAUUAGAGGGAAACAAUGAAAAAAUGCAAUGGAACUGUCUUCCAGAGUUGAGUUGGAGAGCCCUACGUAGUGCACUACGGGUCUUCCAGAGUUGAGUUGGAGAGCCCUACGUAGUGCACUACGGGUCUUCCAGAGUUGAGUUGGAGAGCCCUACGUAGUGCACUACGGGUCUUCCAGAGUUGAGUUGGAGAGCCCUACGUAGUGCACUACGGGUCUUCCAGAGUUGAGUUGGAGAGCCCUACGUAGUGCACUACGGGUCUUCCAGAGUUGAGUUGGAGAGCCCUACGUAGUGCACUACGGGUCUUCCAGAGUUGAGUUGGAGAGCCCUACGUAGUGCACUACGGAGGGAAUAGGGUGCCAUUUGGAGCGUAGAUUCAUUAUUUUGGUUUAAACAAAGAUCCCAACAUCCUCCGAAAGAGUUUUAAUCGUGGGAACAAUCACCCUGCAAGCCAUGGCUAUAUUAUACAUAUUAUAUUACUCUAAAUGAUUAUAUUAUAUUAGGAAUAAAAUUUUAGCUCAAUUCUCUACAUGAGCAUGCUACUGUGUGUUCUCUACCCGUGGGGUGGUGGGUGACUACACAGGGAAAGAGUUGGUUGUGAAUAGGUUUGAAAAUGUUUUCUAAACUUCCAGGUCUUCCCCCAGAAAAUCCUGGUUUGGAGGUUUUCAUAUUGAGACAACAAGCAGAACAUCCAGGAAUAUUUCUUCAAGGUUUUAUGGAAAACCCUGGGAAUUGUAGAAAAUGAAUGUCAUUUUGCAACCCUAGUUGGGAGGUGGUCGGUUGUUUAUUUACCAGUUGGAAGACGGACGAUCAAUUUUUUUCUUACUACUAUUACUGCUGUCUGCCUGCCUGUCAUGUAUAGACCCCGUUCACACCGACGACAUCUGUAAUCUGUAUAGCUGAAGGUUGUGAGGCCUAAAUGAAAGGUCAUUUCACCUUUGAGCCGAACAUAUGGAGUCUCUGCUAACACGGGAACAUUGCCUUUAGAUUCCAAUCACGCUGAACUUCAGCCAUACAGAUGGAACCCAGACCUUAGGUUGCACAAUUGAUGCACAACGCAGUUGGUACAACGGUUGUGAUACAAUUUAUAUAUUUUACUAAUACUUCAUGCUGAAAAAUCCUCUGUUGUAUCACAACCGUUGUACCAAAUGUGUUGUACAACAGUUGUAUGACUCGAGUGUGGGGUCAUAUCGACGAGAGGAAGGUUGUUAUAGCAUUAGCUAUUAUAAGAGGUUAUAAGCUGUAGCUGUUAAAAGCUGUAACUGUAGCUAUUAUAAGAGGUUAUAAUAUAUAGCUGUUGGAAGAGGUUAUUAUAAGCUCUAGCUGUUGGAAGAGGUUAUAAGCUCUAGCUGUUGGAAGAGGUUAUAAGCUCUAGCUGUUGGAAGAGGUUAUAAGAUAUAGCUGUUGGAAGAGGUUAUAAGAUAUAGCUGUUGGAAGAGGUUAUAAGAUAUAGCUGUUGGAAGAGGUUAUAAGAUAUAGCUGUUGGAAGAGGUUGUAAGAUAUAGCUGUUGGAAGAGGUUAUAAGCUCUAGCUGUUGGAAGAGGUUAUAAGCUCUAGCUGUUGGAAGAGGUUAUAAGCUCUAGCUGUUGGAAGAGGUUAUAAGCUCUAGCUGUUGGAAGAGGUUAUAAGCUCUAGCUGUUGGAAGAGGUUAUAAGCUCUAGCUGUUGGAAGAGGUUAUAAGCUCUAGCUGUUGGAAGAGGUUAUAAGCUCUAGCUGUUGGAAGAGGUUAUAAGCUCUAGCUGUUGGAAGAGGUUAUAAGCUCUAGCUGUUGGAAGAGGCUAUAAGCUCUAGCUGUUGGAAGAGGUUAUAAGAUAUAGCUGUUGGAAGAGGUUAUAAGCUCUAGCUGUUGGAAGAGGUUAUAAGCUCUAGCUGUUGGAAGAGGUUAUACGCUCUAGCUGUUGGAAGAGGUUAUACGCUCUAGCUGUUGGAAGAGGUUAUAAGCUCUAGCUGUUGGAAGAGGUUAUAAGCUCUAGCUGUUGGAAGAGGUUAUAAGCUCUAGCUGUUGGAAGAGGUUAUAAGCUCUAGCUGUUGGAAGAGGUUAUAAGCUCUAGCUGUUGGAAGAGGUUAUAAGCUCUAGCUGUUGGAAGAGGUUAUAAGCUCUAGCUGUUGGAAGAGGUUAUAAGCUCUAGCUGUUGGAAGAGGUUAUAAGCUCUAGCUGUUGGAAGAGGUUAUAAGAUAUAGCUGUUGGAAGAGGUUAUAAGAUAUAGCUGUUGGAAGAGGUUAUAAGAUAUAGCUGUUGGAAGAGGUUAUAAGAUAUAGCUGUUGGAAGAGGUUGUAAGAUAUAGCUGUUGGAAGAGGUUAUAAGCUCUAGCUGUUGGAAGAGGUUAUAAGCUCUAGCUGUUGGAAGAGGUUAUAAGCUCUAGCUGUUGGAAGAGGUUAUAAGCUCUAGCUGUUGGAAGAGGUUAUAAGUUCUAGCUGUUGGAAGAGGUUAUAAGCUCUAGCUGUUGGAAGAGGUUAUAAGCUCUAGCUGUUGGAAGAGGUUAUAAGCUCUAGCUGUUGGAAGAGGUUAUAAGCUCUAGCUGUUGGAAGAGGUUAUAAGCUCUAGCUGUUGGAAGAGGUUAUAAGCUCUAGCUGUUGGAAGAGGUUAUAAGCUCUAGCUGUUGGAAGAGGUUAUAAGCUCUAGCUGUUGGAAGAGGUUAUAAGAUAUAGCUGUUGGAAGAGGUUAUAAGCUCUAGCUGUUGGAAGAGGUUAUAAGAUAUAGCUGUUGGAAGAGGUUAUAAGAUAUAGCUGUUGGAAGAGGUUAUAAGUUCUAGCUGUUGGAAGAGGUUAUAAGCUCUAGCUGUUGGAAGAGGUUUUAAGCUCUAGCUGUUGGAAGAGGUUAUAAGAUAUAGCUGUUGGAAGAGGUUGUAAGAUAUAGCUGUUGGAAGAGGUUAUAAGCUCUAGCUGUUGGAAUAGGUUAUAAGAUAUAGCUGUUGGAAGAGGUUAUAAGCUCUAGCUGUUGGAAGAGGUUAUAAGCUCUAGCUGUUGGAAUAGGUUAUAAGAUAUAGCUGUUGGAAGAGGUUAUAAGAUAUAGCUGUUGGAAGAGGUUGUAAGAUAUAGCUGUUGGAAGAGGUUAUAAGCUCUAGCUGUUGGAAGAGGUUAUAAGCUCUAGCUGUUGGAAGAGGUUAUAAGCUCUAGCUGUUGGAAGAGGUUAUAAGAUAUAGCUGUUGGAAGAGGUUGUAAGAUAUAGCUGUUGGAAGAGGUUAUAAGCUCUAGCUGUUGGAAGAGGUUAUAAGAUAUAGCUGUUGGAAGAGGUUAUAAGCUCUAGCUGUUGGAAGAGGUUAUAAGAUAUAGCUGUUGGAAGAGGUUAUAAGCUCUAGCUGUUGGAAGAGGUUAUAAGCUCUAGCUGUUGGAAGAGGUUAUAAGCUCUAGCUGUUGGAAGAGGUUAUAAGCUCUAGCUGUUGGAAGAGGUUAUAAGCUCUAGCUGUUGGAAGAGGUUAUAAGCUCUAGCUGUUGGAAGAGGUUAUAAGCUCUAGCUGUUGGAAGAGGUUAUACGCUCUAGCUGUUGGAAGAGGUUAUAAGCUCUAGCUGUUGGAAGAGGUUAUAAGAUAUAGCUGUUGGAAGAGGUUAUAAGCUCUAGCUGUUGGAAGAGGUUAUAAGAUAUAGCUGUUGGAAGAGGUUAUAAGCUCUAGCUGUUGGAAGAGGUUAUAAGAUAUAGCUGUUGGAAGAGGUUAUAAGAUAUAGCUGUUGGAAGAGGUUAUAAGAUAUAGCUGUUGGAAGAGGUUAUAAGCUCUAGCUGUUGGAAGAGGUUAUAAGCUCUAGCUGUUGGAAGAGGUUAUAAGCUCUAGCUGUUGGAAGAGGUUAUAAGCUCUAGCUGUUGGAAGAGGUUAUAAGAUAUAGCUGUUGGAAGAGGUUAUAAGCUCUAGCUGUUGGAAGAGGUUAUAAGAUAUAGCUGUUGGAAGAGGUUAUAAGCUCUAGCUGUUGGAAGAGGUUAUAAGCUCUAGCUGUUGGAAGAGGUUAUAAGCUCUAGCUGUUGGAAGAGGUUAUAAACUCUAGCUGUUGGAAGAGGUUAUAAGCUCUAGCUGUUGGAAGAGGUUAUAAGCUGUAGCUGUUGGAAGAGGUUAAAAGCUCUAGCUGUUGGAAGAGGUUAUAAGAUAUAGCUGUUGGAAGAUGUUAUAAGCUCUAACUCAUCACAUACAGCAGUAUACGGUAUAUGGCCAGGAGGGUUUCUACAGCCUAAUUCAUACCGUACACAAAAAUACAACGCAAGAACACAAUUAGUUACUCAGAAUCCUGCAUAGUUGCGUCGAGUUACUCCAGAGCUACGGACAUUUGCAUAUUUUUGCUAUGCAAGUACACAGAACAGCCAUUUUGCAAAUAUGAUAAUAUUAUUGUGUAUGGUCCACAUCAGGCUCAACACAGAGUCAUGUGACUGGUCCAAAGGAAGAAGAUCAGGUAGCAUGCUAGCAGAUACCCAUAGACCUCCAGUCAUCGCGCUAACACUUGUUAGCAUUGGCUCACCAAACUACCUCUUAACUUCCUUCACACUGGACACAGAGACAUUACAAUGGUGUCCAUGAGUUCGUCUGACUCCGGGGAAGUAGAUAAAGGGUCUUAAUGCCAAAAUCCCCAAGUAUCCCUAUAAUAAUAAUAUAAAUUAAAACAAACAUAUUAAUGACGAGCAACUAGUUGGCUGAAAUAGCACCCUGUUCCCUAUAAAGUCCACUACCGCUACUUUAGUGCUCUAUUGUGGUCCUAAAUAGUGGGUUAUAUAGGGGAACAGGGUACCAUUCGGGGACAAAUGAAUUGUUUCUUAACUGGUUUUCAGACGAGGUGUUUUUUCUUACUUUGCAAUAUAUCAACAAAUACCUUUUGCAGUGUUUUCAACAUCUAUCUAUCAUGUCUUAUUGCUCGUCUGUUCAAGACGUCUCCUGUUUUCAGAGAACAAUUCUAGACAUCAAUGCAGAAUACAGCUAUAGAAUUCUAGACAUCAAUACAGAAUACAGCUAUAGAAUUCUAGACAUCAGUGUAGAAUACAACUAUAGAAUUCUAGACAUCAGUUUAGAAUACAGCUAUAGAAUUCUAGACAUCAGUGCAGAAUACAGCUAUAGAAUUCUAGACAUCAAUACAGAAUACAGCUAUAGAAUUCUAGACAUCAAUGCAGAAUACAGCUAUAGAAUUCUAG